RNAcentral lists this ribosomal RNA (460 nucleotides) under uncultured bacterium. RNAcentral's name for it is "partial 16S ribosomal RNA". It matches the Rfam family "Bacterial small subunit ribosomal RNA", at positions 338 to 795 of the family's 1533-position model. The record is from RNAcentral.
CCUACGGGAGGCUGCAGUGAGGAAUAUUGGUCAAUGGACGCAAGUCUGAACCAGCCAUGCCGCGUGCAGGAAGACGGCUCUAUGAGUUGUAAACUGCUUUUGUACGAGGGUAAACGCAGAUACGCGUAUCUGUCUGACAGCAUCGUACGAAUAAGGAUCGGCUAACUCCGUGCCAGCAGCCGCGGUAAUACGGAGGAUUCAAGCGUUAUCCGGAUUUAUUGGGUUUAAAGGGUGCGUAGGCGGUCGGAUAAGUUAGAGGUGAAAUCCCGAGGCUCAACUUCGGAAUUGCCUCUGAUACUGUUCGGCGAGAGAGUAGUUGCGGUAGGCGGAAUGUAUGGUGUAGCGGUGAAAUGCUUAGAGAUCAUACAGAACACCGAUUGCGAAGGCAGCUUACCAAGCUACUUCUGACGUUGAGGCACGAAAGCGUGGGGAGCAAACAGGAUUAGAUACCCGAGUAGUC